GUGCUCACUUUGGCAGCACAUAUGCUCAUACAGAGAAGAUUAGCAUGGUCCCUUUGCAAGGACGACCUGAAAAUUCUAGAAGCAUUUCAUAUUUUU
RNAcentral lists this small nuclear RNA (96 nucleotides) under Notamacropus eugenii (tammar wallaby). Lineage: Eukaryota; Metazoa; Chordata; Mammalia; Diprotodontia; Macropodidae. The record is from RNAcentral.